This 447-nucleotide ribosomal RNA is filed under the name uncultured bacterium. RNAcentral's name for it is "bacterial SSU rRNA". It matches the Rfam family "Bacterial small subunit ribosomal RNA", at positions 331 to 798 of the family's 1533-position model. The record is from RNAcentral.
CCAGACUCCUACGGGAGGCAGCAGUGGGGAAUAUUGCACAAUGGGGGAAACCCUGAUGCAGCAACGCCGCGUGAGUGAAGAAGUAUUUCGGUAUGUAAAGCUCUAUCAGCAGGGAAGAAAAUGACGGUACCUGAGUAAGAAGCCCCGGCUAACUACGUGCCAGCAGCCGCGGUAAUACGUAGGGGGCAAGCGUUAUCCGGAUUUACUGGGUGUAAAGGGAGCGUAGACGGCGAUACAAGUCUGAAGUGAAAGCCCGGGGCUCAACCCCGGGACUGCAUUGGGAACUGGCGCGCUGGAGUGCCGGAGGGGUAGGCGGAAUUCCUAGUGUAGCGGUGAAAUGCGUAGAUAUUAGGAGGAACACCAGUGGCGAAGGCGGCCUACUGGACGGUGACUGACGCUGAGGCUCGAAAGCGUGGGGAGCAAACAGGAUUAGAUACCCCAGUACAC